AAAGAUGGUUCUGCUAUCACUCUUGGAUGGACCUGCGGUGCAUUAGCUAGUUGGUAAGGUAACGGCUUACCAAGGCAAUGAUGCAUAGCCGAGUUGAGAGACUGAUCGGCCACAUUGGGACUGAGACACGGCCCAAACUCCUACGGGAGGCAGCAGUAGGGAAUCUUCCACAAUGGACGCAAGUCUGAUGGAGCAACGCCGCGUGAGUGAAGAAGGGUUUCGGCUCGUAAAGCUCUGUUGGUAGUGAAGAAAGAUAGAGGUAGUAACUGGCCUUUAUUUGACGGUAAUUACCUAGAAAGUCACGGCUAACUACGUGCCAGCAGCCGCGGUAAUACGUAGGUGGCAAGCGUUGUCCGGAUUUAUUGGGCGUAAAGCGAGUGCAGGCGGUUCAAUAAGUCUGAUGUGAAAGCCUUCGGCUCAACCGGAGAAUUGCAUCAGAAACUGUUGAACUUGAGUGCAGAAGAGGAGAGUGGAACUCCAUGUGUAGCGGUGGAAUGCGUAGAUAUAUGGAAGAACACCAGUGGCGAAGGCGGCUCUCUGGUCUGCAACUGACGCUGAGGCUCGAAAGCAUGGGUAGCGAACAGGAUUAGAUACCCUGGUAGUCCAUGCCGUAAACGAUGAGUGCUAAGUGUUGGGAGGUUUCCGCCUCUCA
Molecule: ribosomal RNA, 652 nt
Filed under: uncultured bacterium
Lineage: Bacteria
Description: bacterial SSU rRNA
Rfam family: Bacterial small subunit ribosomal RNA
Source: RNAcentral